RNAcentral lists this ribosomal RNA (478 nucleotides) under uncultured bacterium. RNAcentral describes it as "partial 16S ribosomal RNA". It matches the Rfam family "Bacterial small subunit ribosomal RNA", at positions 28 to 523 of the family's 1533-position model. The record is from RNAcentral.
GACGAACGCUGGCGGCGUGCUUAACACAUGCAAGUCGAACGGUAAGGCCCUUCGGGGUACACGAGUGGCGAACGGGUGAGUAACACGUGGGUGAUCUGCCCUGCACUUCGGGAUAAGCCUGGGAAACUGGGUCUAAUACCGGAUAGGACCACUGCCUGCAUGGGUGGUGGUGGAAAGCUUUUGCGGUGUGGGAUGGGCUCGCGGCCUAUCAGCUUGUUGGUGGGGUGAUGGCCUGCCAAGGCGACGACGGGUAGCCGGCCUGAGAGGGGGACCGGCCACACUGGGACUGAGAUACGGCCCAGACUCCUACGGGAGGCAGCAGUGGGGAAUAUUGCACAAUGGGCGCAAGCCUGAUGCAGCGACGCCGCGUGAGGGAUGACGGCCUUCGGGUUGUAAACCUCUUUCAGCACCGACGAAGCGCAAGUGACGGUAGGUGCAGAAGAAGGACCGGCCAACUACGUGCCAGCAGCCGCCGUAA